ACUUGAGUAUUAAUAGCUAUGGUCUUUAAAUUCAAAGAAUUUGGCGGUGUUUUAGUCUUGUUAGAGGAACCUGUUCUGUAAAUGACACGACACGAAAAAUCUUACUUACUUUAGUUUGACAGCUUGUAUACCGUCAUUAUUAGAUAACCUUUAUUGAGAAAGUUAUUGAAAUUUAAGAAAUUAAAAUAUAUUAGAUCAAGGUGCAGUUUAUGGGUAAGGAGAAAUGGGUUACAAUAAAAUUUAUUUACACGUAUCAAAUGAUUGAAUGAUUUUUGUGAAGGAGGAUUUAAUUGUAACAUAUAAUUUAAUAAGUUAAUGUGAUAUGAGAACUAAAAUAUGUACACAU
This 346-nucleotide ribosomal RNA is filed under the name Cherax boesemani. RNAcentral describes it as "partial 12S ribosomal RNA". Lineage: Eukaryota; Metazoa; Arthropoda; Malacostraca; Decapoda; Parastacidae. The record is from RNAcentral.